GGCUUAGAGUUUGAUCAUGGCUCAGGAUAAGCGCUGGCGGCGCACAUAAGACAUGCAAGCCGAACGGACUUAACUCGAAGUUUACUUUGAGAGCGGUUAGUGGCGGACUGGUGAGUAACACGUAAGCAACCUGCCUAUCAGAGGGGAAUAACAGUGAGAAAUCAUUGCUAAUACCGCAUAUGCUUACACUAUCGCAUGAUAGAGUAAGGAAAGGAGCAAUCUGCUGAUAGAUGGGCUUGCGUCUGAUUAGCUAGUUGGUGAGGUAACGGCUUACCAAGGCGACGAUCAGUAGCCGGACUGAGAGGUUGAACGGCCACAUUGGGACUGAGAUACGGCCCAGACUCCUACGGGAGGCAGCAGUCGGGAAUAUUGCGCAAUGGAGGAAACUCUGACGCAGUGACGCCGCGUAUAGGAAGAAGGUUUUCGGAUUGUAAACUAUUGUCGUUAGGGAAGAUACAAGACAGUACCUAAGGAGGAAGCACCGGCUAACUAUGUGCCAGCAGCCGCGGUAAUACAUAGGGUGCGAGCGUUAUCCGGAAUUAUUGGGUGUAAAGGGUGCGUAGAUGGGAAGACAAGUUAGUUGUGAAAUCCCUCGGCUCAACUGAGGAACUGCAACUAAAACUAUCUUUCUUGAGUGUCGGAGAGGAAAGUGGAAUUCCUAGUGUAGCGGUGAAAUGCGUAGAUAUUAGGAGGAACACCAGUGGCGAAGGCGACCUUCUGGACGAUAACUGACGUUGAGGCACGAAAGUGUGGGGAGCAAACAGGAUUAGAUACCCUGGUAGUCCACACCGUAAACGAUGGAUACUAGGUGUAGGGUGUAUUAAGCAUUCUGUGCCGCCGCUAACGCAUUUAGUAUCCCACCUGGGGAGUACGAC
RNAcentral lists this ribosomal RNA (875 nucleotides) under uncultured bacterium. Its description in RNAcentral is "bacterial SSU rRNA". It matches the Rfam family "Bacterial small subunit ribosomal RNA", at positions 1 to 886 of the family's 1533-position model. The record is from RNAcentral.